Mercenaria mercenaria is the source of this 1736-nucleotide long non-coding RNA. RefSeq lists it as uncharacterized. The transcript has 2 exons. NCBI's taxonomy places the organism in Eukaryota, Metazoa, Mollusca, Bivalvia, Venerida, Veneridae. The record is from RefSeq and is a predicted model, not a curated record.
GUCCACAACGUCUGGCUUCCUCGCGUGAAAUACUUUUAUAGAGCCCAUAGCGGUGAAGGGCUAGUGAAUUAAUGUCAGUGACCUUAACUUCUCGGCCCUUUUUGCAAAAAGAUGAGCAUUACUUAGAUAUAUGUGUUCUUUAACUUCUUGGUGUGCAAAAUUGUUUUUCCCCAUUUUCUCCUUAGCUAAAUGACGAUUCGUAGCUUCAAAAAAGAAAAAAAAAGUAUCUGGUACCUACUGGAACAUUUUGGCAUGCUGCAGACAACUAGCAAACAACGUCAAAAUAGCAACAAAAAGAACUUGUUCGAGGCUACUACAGAUUCCGGUAAUUUGAACAAUUCUGGUAUCAUUUUCAAGAGUUCCGCGUUCAGUAGAAGGAAUUUAUUCUGGGCGCUGUCACUUUUUCAGUUAAGGUAAUGGACCUGUGAUUAAAGUCGGGAAUUUCCGUUAUUUUCCGUAAUCACCGUUUGCAAUUUCGGCAUACUCCGGUUGUUACGCUUACGGAGGAUAAGUAAACGAAUAAAAUAACAGAUUUAUUACCGAAAUAAGAAUUCCACGUAACGAGAUCGCGUAAAUAGAGGAUAUUACAUGAGUGUCUUUUCAUACUGAAUUUAUUAAACGAGUUGAAUAAAAUAAUAAAAUUAUCACAUGUAAGUUUUUCCUGUCGAAACAUUGAAAAUUCUACUUUCUUUUGCUUUAUAAACAACUCGGUUUGACCAACGUUUCCUAUACUAUAAAUGUAGUGUAUUAUCAUUUUUUUAAGUCAUGGCCUUAUUACACUCCCGCGACGUCAAACAUGAGAUAUUAUUAUAUACAUUAUUGUCAGCAGUCGUUUCUGUAUCAUUUAUCAAUAAAUUUAUCAUCCAUUAAUUCCAAACAAAAAAAGCAGGAAGAUUAAACAAAAGUUUCUUUAACUACAACAAACUCGACUCUCAUGGGAACGCAUUCUCUAUUUUGCAAUUAGCAAAUUGAAUGAAAGCCGUUUCAAUGACGAAUCAAUAGAUUUUGUAAUUAAGGCAAGGUCUGUUGGUAACAGAUGCUCCUAAUACAGCAACAGGCCAGAUACAUUGCAGUGUAAACGUAUAUGGACUUUUACAGUUGCAUAAAAGAGCUAGCGGUAAAUGGACAGUAUUGGGAGCCAAAGGACAUUACUUUUGAUCUGCAUAAAAACUGGAAUGAACUAAAACUAUUUUUCUAGAGAUGUCGGAUGUUACUUGCCAUAAUGCUGACACCGACCAGGGUCUGCGUCAGGAAGCUGAACCGAGGGCACCUUUGCAAACAAACUUGACGACCCAGCAGACGACAAGUGAAAAAGAGGCGGGAAGUCAAAACUUCUGCAGACGACAACUUAGUCGUCACUUACAAAUAAAACGAAAGGAGGGAAAAACUGACAAACAAGUACAAACUCUCAUAAGUGGAGAUUUCUUCGUUAACACAGCUAACGUGUAUUCUGGACAUCUUGUUGAAUAGGAACUACAGACAGCUUUUACAACAAAAUUACACACAAAAAACCCCAAACAUCUGCGUUUGUAUUUCCGCAAAUAUUGUACAAUAGUAUAGCUCUUGCAUGAUGGACAUUUUUUCUUUCUAUAUAAACUUCAGUUUAUUUAAGGAAUAAUUUAUAGCAAAACAGUGCUUUAUCACUAUUUAUACACGAUGGGAGGUUAUACGUCGGGCGUAAUAAUUUCACGAGGGCGCAGCAUUGUUAGCCAUAUUAGAAUUUAGAAUGAAACAUG